GUGGGGAAUAUUGGUCAAUGGGGGAAACCCUGAACCAGCAACGCCGCGUGAAGGAAGAAGGCUUUCGGGUUGUAAACUUCUUUGACAGGGGACGAAAAAAAUGACGGUACCCUGAAAACAAGCCACGGCUAACUACGUGCCAGCAGCCGCGGUAAUACGUAGGUGGCGAGCGUUGUCCGGAUUUACUGGGUGUAAAGGGCAUGUAGGCGGGACGGUAAGUCAGAUGUGAAAUGUAGGGGCUCAACCCCUGAACUGCAUUUGAAACUAUCGUUCUUGAGUGAUGGAGAGGCAGGCGGAAUUCCGUGUGUAGCGGUGAAAUGCGUAGAUAUACGGAGGAACACCAGUGGCGAAGGCGGCCUGCUGGACAUUAACUGACGCUGAGGCGCGAAAGCGUGGGGAGCAAACAGGAUUAGAUACCCGAGUAGUCC
RNAcentral lists this ribosomal RNA (428 nucleotides) under uncultured bacterium. Its description in RNAcentral is "partial 16S ribosomal RNA". It matches the Rfam family "Bacterial small subunit ribosomal RNA", at positions 354 to 796 of the family's 1533-position model. The record is from RNAcentral.